This is an RNA transcript of Telopea speciosissima, 2269 nucleotides long. It is a transcript of the gene named GPI ethanolamine phosphate transferase 2, with no coding region annotated. The transcript has 9 exons. The record is from RefSeq and is a predicted model, not a curated record. Lineage: Eukaryota; Viridiplantae; Streptophyta; Magnoliopsida; Proteales; Proteaceae.
GAACAGAUUGUCUCUAUUUUAAAUUCCUUUGUAGCUUGUCGUCAGUGACCAUGGGAUGACUGAAAAUGGGAAUCAUGGAGGAUCCUCCUAUGAAGAAACUGACUCCUUGGCUCUUUUUAUUGGUCUGAAAUCAAAGAUCUUAACUUAUACAUCAGCGACUCAAAAUGCAGCUUCUCAGGUUGAUAUGGCUUCAACAUUAGCUCUUCUUUUUGGUGUUCCAAUUCCAAAAAACAAUGUUGGUGUCCUAAUGCCUGAAGUUUUUGGUUCUUUGACAGAUGAUCAAUGGCUAAGAGCGUUGGAGUUGAAUUCCUGGCAACUACUAAGAUUACUACAGGCACAAUUAUCUGGUUUAUCCCAACAAAGUUUUCCAUGUAAUGACUCCAGUUAUGAGCAGUCAUCUGAAUUCACCAAGUGCGUUGGGCAAGUGGAGCAGAAGUUUUGCCAUUUCUUUUCAAAAGCUACAGUUCUCCAUAGUUCCUGGAAAUCUAAGAAAGGCCAAACUAUUAGGUCAAUUAAUGGGGAUGACUUCAGGAAUGCUGUUAAAGCAUAUGAUGAAUUCUUAAGAAUUGCAAGUGAGUGGUUAUCGCGCAGAGCCACUGAUAAGCCUCUUAAUUUACUUACAUCUGGAGUUGCAGCAAUGUUUGGAUCAUCUAUGAUAAUGUUGAGGCUUCUAUUCUUGUUGUGCAAACAGGUGUUCUUUGCAGAGAAGCAAUAUCUUCCUAAUGUAAACAAAUAUACCUACAACUGGGAUUUAGAUGAACUUUUUGUUUUAGGUGCAAUCUUGAUCGUUGUUCUCGGUAUGGGCUCAAGUUCUAUGGUAGAAGAAGAGCAAUAUAUAUGGCAUUUUAUGACAUCCACAUUGUAUUUGAUAUUUCUCCGUAGAACAAUCCAAUCUGUUCCGGCAGGACCAGCUCCAUUUAUACUUAAUGUGUUCAAUGGAAAAAACUGCAGCAACUAUUCUCGGGCGUCAUCUGUCAUUUUGGUGCUCAUUUGUGGAAGGAUUUUGAGAGGCUGGCAUCAAGGUGGCGUGAACUGGACUCAUCUCCCUGACAUUUCAAAAUGGCUUGAGCAGGCUGGCUCUCACAGCAUAAAAUCCAUCCAGAUAGCGUCAAUACUAGCUAUUAUCAGCUUGUGGUCAUUUCUUCUAUAUUCAUUAAGAUCAAAGAGAGGUUUUAUUCUUGUAGUCCAAGCCAUGUUUCUUAUAUCUGGAUUGUUGGUAUUGUUGCACACCAUGGAAUAUCAGGAUCAUAUGUUUGCUGCAUCUGGCUACAAUAACACUUCAAUAGCUCAGAUAGUAUAUGCAAGCCUUGGUGUGACAGUGAUAGUGACUGCUGUAGCCUCACCAUGGGUUAUGUAUUACUCAAUCUCUAAGACCCGAUCAAAUGGAAAACCUUGUCUGAUGAAUUACUUUUCCAUUGCUAAUGGAAUCGGGUCUCCUUUGAUCGAAUUAAUAUAUUCUUCAUACUUGACUGGAUUGGCAUACACAGCAUCUUGGUGCCUUCUGCAGCUGCUACUACAACAGCCAAUAAAUGCUUUGCCUAUAUUAUUAAUUUUCUUGCAAACCCUGUCCAGCUUGGUUUAUUUUUCAACUGGUGGUAUACAGCACAAGUUGUGGGUUGAGGUUGCUGCAUUAUACUUUUUGGGUAUGGCAGGCCAUUUUGGUCUUGGAAACAGCAAUACUCUAGCUACUAUUGAUGUUGCUGGAGCUUUCAUUGGCCUUUCCAGUCAUUCUACUUUAUUUGCUGGCAUCUUAAUGUUCAUGAUUACUUUUGCAUCUCCACUGUUACUUCUCCUAAGCAUGGUGAUGCAUACCUCCAUGAAGGACAUGAGGAAUCUAUCAGUCUCACAGGAUGCAGAUAUGGGACAUUUGCUCCUUAGUACCAUUGCGUUCCCUUCGCUUGUUCCCCUGAGUUUGAAUUCAAUUCUGUUAACCACGUUCACUGUCGUUUUGCUGCUGAUGAGGAAUCACUUAUUUGUUUGGAGCGUAUUUUCACCCAAGUACUUGUAUGUUUGUGCUACCACUGCAAGUGUCUAUGCUGGGGUGACAGCAGUAGCUGCAACUGGGAUUUAUAAAUGUCUGGUGUUUGCGUUAUUGAUGAGAAAUAGCAAUGGCAGCAUUAGGAACCCAAGGUGACAAGAAACUGAGCAUCCAUUGUUGCAUUGGUGUACAAGUUACUAGUAUUCUGUUUUACACAAAUCUAUUCUUCAUUCUUUAUGACCAUGUAUUUUGUCUGCUAUGAUGCCAAGCAACUGUAAUCGCAUUGAAGAG